This 775-nucleotide ribosomal RNA is filed under the name uncultured Neocallimastigales. RNAcentral describes it as "partial large subunit ribosomal RNA". It matches the Rfam family "Eukaryotic large subunit ribosomal RNA", at positions 24 to 620 of the family's 3401-position model. Lineage: Eukaryota; Fungi; Neocallimastigomycota; Neocallimastigomycetes; Neocallimastigales. The record is from RNAcentral.
GUAGUCUCGCACAGAUGCAUAUCAAUAAGCGGAGGAAAAGAAACUAACAAGGAUUCCCUCAGUAACGGCGAGUGAAGCGGGAAGAGCUCAAAUUUGAAAUCUUGAAAGGUCACCUUUCACGAAUUGUAGUUUAAAGAAGUGUUUUCUGUUACGAUCGUAAUAUAAGUUCUUUGGAAUAGGACAUCACAGAGGGUGAGAAUCCCGUCUAUGAUUGCAUAUUUGUAGCUGUGUGAUACACUUUCAAAGAGUCGGAUUGUUUGGGAAUGCAGUCCAAAGUGGGUGGUAAAUUUCAUCUAAAGCUAAAUAUUGGCGAGAGACCGAUAGCGAACAAGUACCGUGAGGGAAAGAUGAAAAGAACUUUGAAAAGAGAGUUAAACAGUACGUGAAAUUGUCAAAAGGGAAGCGUUUGACACCAGUGUUGUUUUCUCGAAAAUCAAUUAAAAAGAGUUAGAUUUUGUUGUGUAUUGACCUUAACAGCUUGCAUUUCAAUUUUCUUGCUUUUUUUAAUGCACUUUUCGUUUAACAAGUCAACAUCAGUUUCUUUUGUUGUAAAAAGGUCAUUGGAAGGUGGCUUUCUUUUCGGAGAAAGUGUUUAUAGCCUUUGACUCCUGCAAUCGGAGAGACUGAGGUCUGCAGCGUAGAUCCUUCGGGGUUAGAUACAUUUGUGCUAAGUUAUAGCUUUUCAUAGACAACUUGUUGACUAUGAUUAGUCUUGUAGCUUACUCGCUUAUGCUAUUUUACCUACGCUUAGGAUGUUGAAGAUGUAGCACAUCAU